This 529-nucleotide long non-coding RNA is filed under the name Homo sapiens (human). RNAcentral's name for it is "HSALNT0308757". The record is from RNAcentral. Lineage: Eukaryota; Metazoa; Chordata; Mammalia; Primates; Hominidae.
AAGAAUCCAGACUUUUCAGUCCCAGGGCGGGGCUGCCUUUCCCCCCAUCCCGCUCCCUUUCUUUGGACUAAAGGGUACUGACUCGGGACUCCCUUAUUUUGUCUUCACAGCUCCCUGUUCGGACUUCUUCCCUUCUCAGCGCUGUGCCUGUCUGGCUCUGAGAAAGGGCCAGCGGGCGAACGGGGAGCAAAGGGGAACAGAGACCUUUAAUGAGCUUCUACUAAGUACCGGGAGUUCCGCGGGGCGCUUUGCAGAUCCCGGGGAAGUUCAGAGAAUGAAGUUUUCUUUUGCAAGGACAAAGUAACAGUUUACUUUUUUACACAUGCAGGAAAGCCUUCCUUUCCUGGGGAUGGGACGCCCGUUUCCACUGAAAGUGAAAUCACUGUGAACAACCUGAAAAUUGGAAAGUUGGACCAGCUGUGGGGAGAGAAAGGUCUUCGUGUCCUUUCCCACGUUCACCGUGCCAGUUACACACAAAGCAGAGAUUUUUUUGCUUGAAUCAUUAAAAGCCGGGUGGGUGGGGGGCACC